RNAcentral lists this ribosomal RNA (496 nucleotides) under uncultured bacterium. RNAcentral's name for it is "partial 16S ribosomal RNA". It matches the Rfam family "Bacterial small subunit ribosomal RNA", at positions 28 to 506 of the family's 1533-position model. The record is from RNAcentral.
GAUGAACGCUGGCGGCGUGCCUAAUACAUGCAAGUCGAGCGAACGGACGAGAAGCUUGCUUCUCUGAUGUUAGCGGCGGACGGGUGAGUAACACGUGGAUAACCUACCUAUAAGACUGGGAUAACUUCGGGAAACCGGAGCUAAUACCGGAUAAUAUUUUGAACCGCAUGGUUCAAAAGUGAAAGACGGCGUUUCUGUCACUUAUAGAUGGAUCCGCGCUGCAUUAGCUAGUUGGUAAGGUAACGGCUUACCAAGGCAACGAUGCAUAGCCGACCUGAGAGGGUGAUCGGCCACACUGGAAGUGAGACACGGUCCAGACUCCUACGGGAGGCAGCAGUAGGGAAUCUUCCGCACUGGGCGAAAGCCUGACGGAGCAACGCCGGGUGAGUGAUGAAGGGCUUCGGAUCGUAAAACUCUGUUAUGAGGGAAGAACAGAUGUGUAAGUAACUGUGCACAUCUUGACGGUACCUAAACAGAAAGCCACGGCUAACUACGU